UUUCACUUCUGGUGGUGGAAGAAGCCAACUCCCCUCCUACUCCUGUAAGUAGGAGUACUGUCUUCUGGCAUUAUCCCAGCGCGCAGGUGUGUCUCAGAUACGGGCUGGAAAUAUUCAUGAUCUGUGGAGAGAGACCUUGGAGACAAGAGAUGUGCUGGGUGCUCUGCUCCCACCUAACUCCAGCCGAAUGCAGAGGCAGGAGUAGCCAAACUCCAACUCCCAGAGCAGAAGCGCCGCCCUACUGAGCCCCACCAACGCAUGGACUCACAAGAGGGUCGGCGCACCUGCUGUUGUUCUACAAGUUACCUGAUUGUUCAUUAAAAGUUUAUUAAAGAAGAAGAAGCCGGUGACCCUACUCUUGCUGCUUGCAAGUCACUGCUCAUUGCUAACCACUACCUAAGGCCGAUUCUUGCUGAAGGGAUGGCGUGUGCACCCGUUAUCACAGGGCUCAGGGAGCCAGAUGUGCCGCUGCGGUUCUCUAGGAUGCCCCUCAAAGCCACCCACUGCAUGGAAAUAAACCCGUCAUCGCAGCUGAAUUUAUUCUAUGACCAGCCCACCCCCUUGGCCAAGAAAUUACUCUUGAUUUUAUGUCUGAUGUUAACUAAUGAAACAAGGUAAUAUAAUGGACAGCAAAUUAACUACAAUAAAAUGCCAGUAGAAUUUAAAGAAUGCCUCCAAAUGCAGCCCCCGUUCCUAGAAAAGUGUUGCACUCUCCCCUGCUCCUUCCCUCCCUCCCUCCCUGCCUUUCUUUCUUCCAACCUGAGCAAAAUAUUAUUGACCCCUUUCUGUACCGGUGUACUGUUCCAGGAGCUGCUAAUACAUGAGCGAAUGACAAAAUGGAGAGGCACUGGUCCCAUAGAGCUUCCAGGCCAGCAGACACAGGCAGGGGGAUUAAAGUGAACGAGCAUUUGCAGUUUUAAGCUGGAUGCCAGGAGGGUGGGGGGGUUCCUUGUGCAAAUGAACAGAACUGAAGGCCAGGUGGCCGAGGGCUUUUAGGGAAGAUGGUGCCUGGCACAGGGGCACCAGUGCAAAGGUUUGGUGCAGAAGGGUGUCUGGCACAGGCAGGGGGCCUGUGCAGCUGGAGCAGAGCCAGGGAGGGGCCAGGAGCUGCCAUCUGAGCAAAGGGCCCUGCAAGGACCCUGGCUUUGACUUUGAGUGAGAUGGGGAACCACUGGAGCAGUUUUUGUUAUUGUUCAGUUUUGGUUUGGGGUUUUCUUGUGGCGCUCUGACAACUGGACCCGGAACUUUGCACACAGUAGGCAAGUGCCAACCCGGAGCCACAUCCCCAGCCCCCAAGUGCUGGUUUCUCUUCAAGUCCUUUUGCUGUGAGUGCAUUUUAUUUAUUUAUUUACUUAUUCAUCUCUCUGCAGUACUGGGGAUGGAACCCAGGGCCUUGUGCAUGCUCAGCAAACACUCUGCCAUUGUGCUGCCUCCUCAGCCCUUUUGAAGUUCAUUUUGAGACAGACUCUCUUUAA
Long non-coding RNA from Sciurus carolinensis (gray squirrel), 1475 nucleotides. RefSeq lists it as uncharacterized. The transcript has 3 exons. NCBI's taxonomy places the organism in Eukaryota, Metazoa, Chordata, Mammalia, Rodentia, Sciuridae. The record is from RefSeq and is a predicted model, not a curated record.